This 150-nucleotide unclassified non-coding RNA is filed under the name Tolypocladium geodes. RNAcentral describes it as "ITS2". Lineage: Eukaryota; Fungi; Ascomycota; Sordariomycetes; Hypocreales; Ophiocordycipitaceae. The record is from RNAcentral.
CAAGCCCCAGCGGCUUGGUGUUGGGGACCGGCCCCGGCCGCCCCCCAAAUGCAGUGGCGACCUCGCCGCAGCCUCCCCUGCGUAGUAGCAACAACCUCGCACCGGAGCGCGGAGACGGUCACGCCGUAAAAUCGCCCAACUUCUUUAGAG